This 253-nucleotide ribosomal RNA is filed under the name uncultured bacterium. RNAcentral's name for it is "partial 16S ribosomal RNA". It matches the Rfam family "Bacterial small subunit ribosomal RNA", at positions 524 to 776 of the family's 1533-position model. The record is from RNAcentral.
UACGGAGGGGGCGAGCGUUAUUCGGAAUUAUUGGGCGUAAAGGGCGCGUAGGCGGCUUGACAAGUCAAAGGUGAAAUCCCUCGGCUCAACUGAGGAACUGCCUUUGAAACUGUCUGGCUUGAGGCCGGUAGAGGGUAGUGGAAUUCCCAGUGUAGCGGUGAAAUGCGUAGAUAUUGGGAGGAACACCAGUGGCGAAGGCGGUUCUCUGGGAAUUACCUGACGCUGAGGAGCGAAAGCAUGGGGAGCGAACAGG